GACGAACGCUGGCGGCGUGCCUAAUACAUGCAAGUAGAACGCUGAAGCGAGGAGCUUGCUCUUCUUGGAUGAGUUGCGAACGGGUGAGUAACGCGUAGGUAACCUGCCUGGUAGCGGGGGAUAACUAUUGGAAACGAUAGCUAAUACCGCAUAAAAUGGAUUAUCGCAUGAUAAUCCAUUGAAAGGUGCAAAUGCAUCACUACCAGAUGGACCUGCUUUGUAUUAGCUAGUUGGUGGGGUAACGGCUCACCAAGGCGACGAUACAUAGCCGACCUGAGAGGGUGAUCGGCCACACUGGGACUGAGACACGGCCCAGACUCCUACGGGAGGCAGCAGUAGGGAAUCUUCGGCAAUGGACGGAAGUCUGACCGAGCAACGCCGCGUGAGUGAAGAAGGUUGUCGGAUCGUAAAGCUCUGUUGUAAGAGAAGAACGAGUGUGAGAGUGGAAAGUUCACACUGUGACGGUAUCUUACCAGAAAGGGACGGCUAACUACGUG
RNAcentral lists this ribosomal RNA (497 nucleotides) under uncultured bacterium. RNAcentral's name for it is "partial 16S ribosomal RNA". It matches the Rfam family "Bacterial small subunit ribosomal RNA", at positions 28 to 507 of the family's 1533-position model. The record is from RNAcentral.